Unclassified non-coding RNA from Mesocricetus auratus (golden hamster), 308 nucleotides. Its record names the gene 7SK. It matches the Rfam family "7SK RNA". Rfam says of the family: 7SK was discovered as an abundant small nuclear RNA in the mid-70s but a possible function has only recently been suggested. Lineage: Eukaryota; Metazoa; Chordata; Mammalia; Rodentia; Cricetidae. The record is from Ensembl.
AAAUGUGAGGGUGGUCUGGCUGCGACAUCUGUCACCCCAUUGAUCGCCAGGGUUGAUUCGACUGAUCUGGCUGGCUAGGCAGUUGUCCCCUUCCUCCCUCACUGCUCCAUGUGCAUCCCUCCGGAAGCUGCAUGCUCAGUCGACAAGGAUGACCUUCCCCAAAUAGAGGAGGACCAGUCUUCAGACAAGUAACUCCACUCCCCUGCUAGAACCUCCAACCAAGCUCUCAAGAAAGACCUUACAUAGUAUAACAAAUUGUGAUAUACAAAUUAUAAAUCAUCAGAAGAUAUAAUAAUCUACCUAUAUCC